Podarcis muralis (Common wall lizard) is the source of this 1055-nucleotide non-coding RNA. NCBI's taxonomy places the organism in Eukaryota, Metazoa, Chordata, Lepidosauria, Squamata, Lacertidae. The record is from RefSeq and is a predicted model, not a curated record.
AAGCGCCAGGCCGCCUACGCCUCCGCCCUUCUCCCCGCCUCGGUAGGCCCUGAGGAGGCAAGGGCGAGGGUUGCCACAUAGGCCAGGAGGCGCGCGAGGAGCUGGUGGGGUUAAUUUAAAUUAAUUGUAAGCGUUCUUGCUGGCUUUUUAGUGAUUUAUUUCCUGAAUUCAUUUUCCAUACCGCCUUUCUUCCAAGGAGCUCAAGGCGGCGUUCAGGGUUCUUGCAGUUCCCAUUUACUUUCCUCACAUCGCUCGUGUGAGGAAGAGUAAGUGGCCCAAGGUCACAUGCAGUGAGCUUCAUGUGAGGACAGCAAGGCUACCAUGGUGACCAGCACCGCCCCCUGGUGGACUCAGGCGCUGAUGCCUCCUGGAUGGUCAUUUGGGGAGCCCCUGGGCUGAGCGGCCCUGGAUAUCAUAGCAAGAUCUGGAAGCGGGGUUGUGAAGGUCUUUCCAGGUGUGUUUGUGUGGGGCGGGGGGUGGCCAGGAUUGUAAAAUUACUUUUCAGGAGCUUUUGGAAGACACGAAACGUACACUUUUUUCCUUAAUGGCCAGGGACAGCUGAUCAAUCUUCUCCAGAAACUCUUUCUCAAACCGGUCAUGCUCCUGUUCCAUCCAGCUUCGUGCAGAUGAGAUCUGGUUACUGAGGCAACUGCACAACAUCCUUCAAGAAAACAAAAGGCCGCCCAGUGAAUGAGAACCAUCCUGUAACAGGGAUCCACUGUGAGAGAUCCCUCCUUUCCCCCAAAGAAUAAAGACCCUUUGGAUGGAGAUGAUCUGCCAUCUUGGCCCUUUCUGCAAGGGAGGGAACCCCUGUGCUUACACCUUCGGUUGCUUGGAAUGAAACCCACUUGAACGAUUACGCAGAAAGUGGCUGUUUCGGAGGCUAGACAGAUGUCUUGUCUAUGAAGGCUGAAGUUUGGAUCUUGUCACUAUGGUGAGCUUUUGCUAGGGACUAGCAGAAGCACUGUGCUGUAUAGAAAAACACCCAGCAGAAGCGGGGGCAAGAGGAGAGGGAAGCACUGACCACCCACACAUUCCUAGCUAGAGAGAGAGAG